AGCAGCCGCGGUAAUUCCAGCUCCAAUAGCGUAUAUUAAAGUUGCUGCAGUUAAAAAGCUCGUAGUUGAAUUUCGGGACCAUCAUGUCGGUCGUGCCUCGGUACGUACUGGCAUUGUUGGUUUCUUCCUUCUGACGAACCAUGAUGUCAUUUACUUGGUGUCGUGGGAAAUCAGGACUGUUACUCUGAAAAAUUAGAGUGUUUAAAGCAGGCUCACGCUUGAAUACAUUAGCAUGGAAUAAUGAAAUAGGAUGUUUGAUUUCUAUUUUGUUGGUUUUUAGGAUCGACGUAAUGAUUAAUAGGGAUAGUUGGGGGCAUUAGUAUUCAAUUGUCAGAGGUGAAAUUCUUGGAUUUAUUGAAGACUAACUACUGCAAAAGCAUUUGCCAAGGAUGUUUUCAUUAAUCAAGAACGAAAGUUAGGGAUCGAAGACGAUCAGAUACCGUCGUAGUCUUAACCAUAAACUAUGCCGACUAGGAAUCAGAUGAUGUUAAUUUUUUAAUGACUCAUUC
RNAcentral lists this ribosomal RNA (509 nucleotides) under uncultured Glomeromycotina. RNAcentral describes it as "SSU rRNA". It matches the Rfam family "Eukaryotic small subunit ribosomal RNA", at positions 569 to 1081 of the family's 1831-position model. Lineage: Eukaryota; Fungi; Glomeromycota. The record is from RNAcentral.